Long non-coding RNA from Pieris brassicae (large cabbage white), 1290 nucleotides. RefSeq lists it as uncharacterized. The transcript is spliced from 3 exons. The record is from RefSeq and is a predicted model, not a curated record. Lineage: Eukaryota; Metazoa; Arthropoda; Insecta; Lepidoptera; Pieridae.
UUUAUAUUAAACAUCCAUUUGCAAUCUAUAAUAUUUUUGUUAUCUGGCCGUGGUACUAAAGUCCAUGUUUUAUUUAAAAAUAGAGAAUUUAAUUGCACCUUCCCAAUGAACUCUAUCGUCUCGUGUUUUAAUCUCUUGAAACGAAUUUGGUAUUUUACACAAAAUUGAACUAGCACACAUAAGGUUAUCAUCGAUAUCUUUAUAAGAAAUAGGGGGACGACUUUAAGCCUAUCACUCCUACGUGGUUCAAUACAACUGGUUGUGUCCUCAUUAUUUACGACCACUGAAAGAUCAUCAGAAUGUGCAUUUGGUUGUUCAAAUUCGACGAUGUCAUGGUUAGUUUUGCGAAUUUUCUGAGGAACUUCAUAAUCAUCAGAUUUACAGGUAUCUGAUUUAUAUCUGUCAGUUUUUUGAGACUUUAUUGACUUUGAAAUGUUGUCAAUGUUAACAUUAUCAUGAGAAUUUACUAUAUUCUCUUCAGGUCGCAACGCAGGCCUGGAUUGAAGUAAUUUGUCUCAUCUACUAUGACAUCUCUGACAGUAAUAAAUUUUUCGCAUUUAGGAUUCCAAACUUUAUAACCGUUUGGUUCGUAUCCCACAAGAAUACCUUUCCAUGACUUAACAUCGAAUUUUGUCUUAUAUAACUUAUCAUGCACAUAAACUGUUGAACCAAAAAAAUUAAAAUAUUUUAUUUGUGGUUUUUUGUUAUGCCACAUUUACGAAUUCAAUCAUCAUGUGACGUAAUUGGUGAAUAAUAUCGUAAUUGAAAAGGAUAUUUCUCUUUAAAUGUACAAGCUGUGUGUGAUGCAGAAAUAAAAUAUAUUAAUGUUGUUCCCCAUGGCCUGGUGCCGCUCAUGAUGCAACAACUUUUGUAAACUCAGUUCUACAAGUUAAUUCAAAUUUAUUGAUAAGAAGGUAGAACUUGAUAAAUGUGCCAACUAAAUUAACAGGUAUAUUUGUUUAUAGCUUAAUAUCGUACAGGUCUACUGAGAAAUCACUGGAUGGUUGUUAAUAGUGCUUACUCAAAUAUACCUUAUUCAUUAACACCAUUUCUCUGACUGACCAGAGAUAUGAUGAAGUACACAUUAAGAAUAGGAAUACUAUAGAGAGAUAUACCGGCAGAAGUUUUAGUUCCAACACUUGAUACAGUUUCAAGUCAAGAAGUUAAUGAAGGAAAUCAAGAUGUAACUGAAAGAACAAGCUUUAUUUAUUAUUUUGGAAAAUUAAUAUAUUCUUCUUAAUUCUAGCAGAAACAAACAUGUUGUAUUUAAAUGUCCUUUUGUACAUAUAA